Non-coding RNA from Podarcis lilfordi (Lilford's wall lizard), 74 nucleotides. The record is from the annotation of a GenBank genome assembly. Lineage: Eukaryota; Metazoa; Chordata; Lepidosauria; Squamata; Lacertidae.
GCUUGAAUAGCUCAGUCAGUAGAGCAUGAAGACUCUUAAUCUCAGGGUUGUGGGUUUGAGCCCCACGUUGAGCC